Polyodon spathula (Mississippi paddlefish) is the source of this 372-nucleotide long non-coding RNA. RefSeq lists it as uncharacterized. NCBI's taxonomy places the organism in Eukaryota, Metazoa, Chordata, Actinopteri, Acipenseriformes, Polyodontidae. The transcript has 3 exons. The record is from RefSeq and is a predicted model, not a curated record.
CCCCCCACACACACACACUCACACAUCUGAGAGAACCAACAAAACAAAGAGGGAGUUUUCUUCCAGUUCAUGAUUUAAAACACGGACACGGACUCACUGGCUGAGCGGAGCGGACCAGCACUGGGAGGCACUAGGAGGCACUGCUUAUCCUGUCCUUAAUUGUGACAACUAGCAAAGUUUGAGCUGUCCUCGUUUCUCUCGGCUCCCUCGAGGAAUCUCCAGCAGUACUGAACGCAGCCUCGUCCAUGUGAACAUCAAACCAUCAAACCAGCAAACCAGCAAACCAGCAGCUCUGAACACAGGCUGGGACUGACUCACGAGGGUCCGACUGCCAGGAGAGGAUCCCAGCGAGGGAGGAGCCUGUCUUGCCGU